This 69-nucleotide transfer RNA is filed under the name Schistocephalus solidus. It matches the Rfam family "tRNA". Rfam says of the family: Transfer RNA (tRNA) molecules are approximately 80 nucleotides in length. Their secondary structure includes four short double-helical elements and three loops (D, anti-codon, and T loops). Lineage: Eukaryota; Metazoa; Platyhelminthes; Cestoda; Diphyllobothriidea; Diphyllobothriidae. The record is from Rfam by way of RNAcentral.
GAGCCCGUGGCUCAGUGGUAGAGCGUUCGACUCAAUAACCAAAGGUCGGGGGUUAAAAUCCCAGGUUUG